CAGCCGCCACGGUAAUACGAAGGGUGCAAGCGUUAAUCGGAAUUACUGGGCGUAAAGCGUGCGUAGGCGGUUUGUUAAGUCUGUUGUGAAAUCCCCGGGCUCAACCUGGGAAUGGCAAUGGAUACUGGCAAGCUAGAGUGUGUCAGAGGAUGGUGGAAUUCCCGGUGUAGCGGUGGAAUGCGUAGAGAUCGGGAGGAACAUCAGUGGCGAAGGCGGCCAUCUGGGACAACACUGACGCUGAGGCACGAAAGCGUGGGGAGCAAACAGGAUUAGAUACCCGCGUAGUCCCUGUCUCUUAUAC
Molecule: ribosomal RNA, 301 nt
Filed under: uncultured bacterium
Lineage: Bacteria
Description: partial 16S ribosomal RNA
Rfam family: Bacterial small subunit ribosomal RNA
Source: RNAcentral